AAAGAGGAUUGUGGGAGCUCCGUUGUGCGUUGCUUAAGUGAGGGCGGCGGAUGGGCGAAGGUCCGGUGAGUGCGACUGUCGCUGCUCUCUGAGGCCACAGGAAAGGGGCCGUCGGUCGCCGCCAUGACAGCGAGCGAGGCGGAGGAACCAUGUAAGAAGUCUGACUGCCCUGCUGGAGAAACCAAAUGGAGAGGUCAAGAGACAACAUGGAGAGAGAACGCACAGCCCAGCUGAGCCCAGCUUUCCAGUUAUCCCCACCAAUGCGCCACACAUAUGAAGGAAGUCAUUUUGGUCCCUCCAAAACAACCUAGCCAGCCAGCUGGAUACCACUGAGUGACCUCAGUAGAUGCCACGUGGGACAGGAGAAUCCUCUAGUGAGCUUUGCCCACAUUCCUUACCCACACAGUCAUGAGUAUAAUUAAAUGAUUAUUGUUUUAAGCCCCAAGUUUUGGGGUGGUUUAUUACACAGCAGUAUAUAACUGGAACAUUGGGCACUGAAGUAGUGGAAACCAUACAUGCACGUUAUAUUUCCGUUAAACUUGGAAAGGGAAAGAUCUGAUGGAGUGGGAGGAUCACAUAAGAUCAAGGGAGAAUUUUUAUGAAGAUGACAGAGACUUGGGAGUGUGCAUAUGCUGAUGGGGAAGAGUUAGGAGAAAGAGAAUGUUGAAGAUAGGGGAGAGAGGAGAUGGCUGAUGCAUGAGGUUUAUGAGAAGGUAAGGGAAGGGAUGAGAUGCAAAAUUCUGCUGGACAGACUGAUCUUGCGUACAAGGAUAGUGGGAUGCUUCGCCUUGUAAAACAGGAAGUGUCUGCCCACCUCCUGUUCUUUAAAAAUGUCAAGCAUAUCCAUGUACUAGAGUCGAGAGAAUAUAUGAAGGUUAGUUGGACAGUACUGGAUCUCCUAAGAAUUGUUUGACUGAAGCCCUUUCUCUGGAUUGCUGACUCAGCCCAGGCUGGAGUUAAGUGACUGGAAUCCAUACCCUCGGACCAGAAUCCAAGUUACCGUCUGCUAAAGCCAUACAUGCACAUUAAAACCACACUUCCACAGAGUCAGCUGGUCUGGGCUCAGUGGGCUCUCAAAAUAAUACAGGGUUCCAUUACCUCUGACCCAGAGGUUCUCUCCAAGAGAAAGAGCUGUUGAUGUUACAAUUCUGCCUGUCACUGUCCCUGUUAUAGCAGGGAGUGCAUACUGGAUUAGUACUCCCCAGAAGGAUGUAUGGUCAGUUGGGUUGGUGGUGGAUGGCAGUUUGUACCAAAACGUCACUUGAACUUCACCUUUGACAGCUGCAGACUUCCACGUGCUGAUAAGGAAUUAAAGAAAGUGGAAAUGCAAUGCAGUCCAAGAUAAACCACUUUACAAAACUUUAUCUUAUGGAAAAUCACAAACAUAUACAAAGUUAGACUAGUAAAAUGAAUCCCCAUACACUUAUCAUCCAGCUUCAACAAUUACAAUGUCUGCUCAUCAUUUGAAUGGCACACACACACACACACACACACACACACAUACAUUUGUGUGGAUAUAUAUGUGUUUGUAGUUUUAUAUAUAUAAAUAAAACUACAUAUAUAGUUAUAUAUAUAGUUGAUUCUUUUAUAUAUAAAUGUAGUUAUAUAUAUACAUAUAUAAAAAGUUGAUUAUUAUUAUUCACAGAUUUCAUAUUUGCAAGUUCACUUACUUCAGACUUAUCUAUAACCCCAAAUCAAUACUUGCAGUGCUUUCAAUAGUCAUUCAUAGACCUGCACUGAGUGGCAAAACAAUUUAGUUGUCAGGCACUCAGUGUUCCCAGCUGAGGUUAGAAAAGGCAAUGUUCUUGUUUCUGCUCUCAUACUGUAAGCAAGUGUUCUUUUCGUAGUCGAUCUAGUGCCAUAUUUUUGUGGCUUUUUUGGUGAUUUUGCUGUUUAAAAUGUCCCCCAAUCAUAGUGCUGAAGUACUGUCUAGUGUUUCUAAGAGCCAGAAGGCAGUGAUGUGCCCUAUAGAGGAAAAUACAUGUGUUAGAUAGGCUUCCAUCAGGCAUGAGUUAUAACGCUGUCUGCUGUGAGUUCAAUGUUAAUAAAUCAGCAACACAGUACAUCCAGAAAAAGGAAUAGGAAAGGCUUGCCAGUCUAUAUGUGAAGACGCUCUGUAUGGUGCUAAAAUAACAUCUUUAGUGUGUGAUGAAGGUAUGGAAUAAAUGGAAAAGCAGCAAAAUUUGUGGAUUCAUAACUACUGAUUAGAAAAAGCAUAGUGGACAGCAUGGUUGUGAGGCUUUUGAAAACCAAAGAAAUUUAUGGUUAUGUUAACCCAGGAUCAGGAAAAUGUUAAACCCUUCUUGGCUAAUGUUUUACUAUAAAAUACUGCAUAUAAUUUAUUAUUUUAAGAAAUAUAUAUUAAAGAAGGUGUCUUUAGACAGAAGCAUACAUAAAACAAGGUUGUGUAUUGAUCAUUUUAAGGAAUGCAACCAGAGGCUCCCAGGAACCUAAACCUGUAUUUCCACUAGGAGCAGUGGCUUGGUAUUUGGUAAUUCAUUGCUUGAGGUGACUUUAUAGAAUAUAACUACCACAAAUAAUGAAUCAACUAUACAUACAUGGGGGUGUGUGUGUGUGUGUGUGUACGUGUGUGUGUCUGUGUCUGUUUAUGUGUGUGUGUGUUUUGGAGUACUUUAGUGCAAAUUGCUGACAUCUUAACAUUUUAUCUGAAAAUGUUUCAUUAUGUCUCUCUAACAUAUUGGUUCUUAAAGUGUAGUGUGAGGAGUCCUGGAGACACCUGAGACAGACCCUUUCAGGUGACUGGGAAAUCCUUUUUCCAACUACAUAUCUCCAUGAGGUUGGAUUUGUCUUCAUAUACUUUAUCCAAAACAGCAUGUUACAACAUUAAAUGCAGAAGCAAAUAUGGGAAUCUAGCUGUCUUGUACUGAGGCAGACAUUUAAGAGAUUUUCAGAAACGUAAAACAUUCCUAAAUUCUUUGUUUUGAAAAUGCAAUUAUUUUAAUAAAAUUUUAUUUACGAUAAUCAGUGGAUUUAUUAUUUUAAAUACAUUAAUACAUAUUUUAAAAUUUUUCAGUUUUGAUUUCUAAUAUAAUAAAUAUUGAUAGAUCUGUAACCUACAUUAGCAAAAGCUCUUUAGGAUCUAAAAGUACUAAUAUUUUCACCAUCUGUAUAUAAUUUUUAUUUGUAAAUAUAUUAUUAAAAUAACUGUCACUUUAGAAAACAUAAUAAUGCUUUUUACAAAGAAGCACUGAUAAACUUCUUUUUAGCACUGUUUGUAAAACUUGUCAAAAGGAGGAGGAAUUUUUAAACUACCCCAGCUGUGCACGGAAGACAGCUAACACGGGAAAAACAAGUCUAGCAAAGAAAUUCGCCAAGGCUACUUUCUGCCACCCUGGAAUCCCACACUAGUUUUUUGUUUGUUUGUUUUUUGGUUUUUUUUUGAGACAGAGUCUAGCUCUAUCACCCAGGCUGGAGUGCAGUGGCGUGAUCUCAGCUCACUGCAAUCUCCACCUCACCAGUUCAAGCCAUUCUUGAGCCUCAGCCUCCUGAGUAGCUGGGAUUACAGGCAUGUGCCACCAUGCCAAGCUAAUUUUUGUAUUUUUAGUAGAGACUCGGUUUCACCAUAUUGGCCAGGCUGGUCUCGAACUCCUGACCUCAAGUUAUCUGCCCAUCUUGGCCUCCUAAAGUGCUGGGAUUACAGGCGUGAGCCACCACACCCAGCCCCACGCUAGUUAUUUUUAAAAAUUAUUUUAAAGUAAUUAUAGACUCACAAGGAAGUUGCAAAAGCACAUAGAGUCCCAUGUACCUGAAACCACACUUCCUCUAAUGGUGGCACCUUACGUUAUUAUAGUACAAUAUCAAAUCCAGGAAAUUAUUACAAGAUUGUUAACUAGAAUAUAGACCUAAUUUUCACCAUUUUACAUGCAUUUGUAUGUGUGUGUGUUUUUCUAUGUGGUCUUAUCCCAUGUAGAGAUUUGUUUAACAACCACCACAGUCAUGAUAUAAAACUGUUCAAUAGGACCUCCCUUGUGUUUCCCCUUCAUAAUCAUACCCACCCUGCCCCAUCCUUGCUCCCUGGCAAUGAUUAAUCUGUUCUGUAUCUCUAAAAUUUUCUAAUUUCGAGAAUGUUACAUAAAUAGAGUCCUAUACUAUGUAGUCUUUUGGGAUUGACGUUCUUCACCAAAUGUAAUCCUUUUGAGUCAUAUCUGGGUUGUUGUGUGUAUCAGUAGUUUGUUCCAGCUGAGUAGUAUUCCCUUGGGUGGAUAGACCAGAAUUUCUUUAUCCAAUUACUAGUUGAAGGACAUUUGGGUUGUUUCCUCGUUUUGCAAUUACAGAUAAAGUUGCUGUGAACAUCAGCAUGCAGGUUUUUGUGUGACUAUAAGUUUUCAUUUCUCUGGGAUAAAUGCCCAGGAGUGCACUUGCAGGGUCAUAUGAUAAGUGCAUGUUUAGUCUCAUAGGAAAUUGCCAGAAUGAUUUCCAGAGCCUUACCAUUUUAUAUUCCUAACAUCAUUGUAUGAGAGAUCCAUUUUUUCUACAUCCUUGUGAACAUUUGGUAUUACUGUUUUUUAUUUUAGCCAUUCUUAUAGGUGUACAAUGAUAGCUUAGCUUAUUGUGGUUUUAAUUUGCAUUUCCUUAGUGACUAAUGAUGUUGAACAUGUUUUUCAUGUUCUUUGCCAUCUGCGUAUUCUUUUUGGUGAAAUUCUGUUCAUGUUCAUGCUCAUUUUCUAAUGGAAUCUAUUUUUUACUUUUUUUUUUGGAGACAGGGUCUCACUCUGUCACCCAGAUUGGAGUGCAGUGGCACAAUCAUGUCUCACUGAAGCUUUGAUGUGGACUCAAGUAAUCCUCCUGCCACAGCCUCCUGAGUACCCAGGACCACAGAUGUGCACCACCAUACCUGACUAAUGUUUUAAUUUUUUUUAGAGAUGGGGUCUCACUAUGUUGCCCAGGCUUGUCUCAAACCCCUGGCCUCAAGUGAUGCUCUCACCUCAGCCUCCCAAAGUGCUGGGAAUACAGGUGUGAGCCACUGUGCCAAGCCUUCUAAUGGAAUAUUUAUGUCUUUUUUACUGUUGAAUUUUGAGAGUUUCUUUUCCUUUUCUAUCUCCUCCUAACAAGUGCUUUUGCCCAGACUGGAGUGCAGUGAUGUGAUCGUAGCUCACUGCAGCCUCGAACUCCUGGGCUAAAACGAUCCUCCCACCUCAGCCUCCCAAGUAGCUAAGACUGCAGGCAUGUGCCACCACACCUGGCUAAUUUUUAAUUUUUUUGUGUGGAGACUGGGUCUUGUAAUGUUACCCAGGCUGGUCUCAAACUCCUGGCCUCAAGUGAUCCUCUCGCCUCAACCUCUCAAAGUGCUGGGAUUACAGGCAUGAGCCACCAUGCUGGGCCAGCUUGUGUGUAUCUAUGAAAAAUCCCUCUGGGAUUUUGAUAGUAAUUAUGUUAAAUCUAUAGAUAACUGUGGGGAAAAUUGACAUCUUUAUUAUAUUGAGUUUUGCAAUCACUGAGCACUGCGUGUAUCUCCAUGUUUUCAGAUCUUUGCUAGCUUUCUUUCAUCAAGUUUUACGGAAAGGGAUGGAUGUACUUACGAACUCUCAGUGGCUUCAUCCUGGCAGAGAACAGGAAUGCUGCUUGCUCUGUGAACUCUGCAGCCUCGGUGUCCUCAUUUGUGGUGACAGCUCCCUCUUAAGGUCAUUGUAAAGAUUUAAGGAGAUGCUGAAUGCCCAAGUCCUGCCUCCAGCAUAUGUGCUUUUCUCCUUAACUUCCCACUCAUUACCUUUUGGGCCUUGAGUUUUCAUCUGUGAACCCACAUAGGAUAAUAGUGGGACUGACUUCCAAGGGGUUGUUGUGAGGAAUGGGUAUGAGAAUUCAAGUAAAGCACCAAAGAGACUGCCAGACACAGUAGGGGUACCAUAAGCAGUAGCUGUUAUUACGAUAUGAUUGUAGUGAGGUGAAACUAUAAUUUCUUCCUUUCACUGAGAGAAAACUCUCAAGCAGCUGGUCCAAAGAGCAUAAACAGCACAAGGCAAGUAGCAGGAUGUUGCUGAAGGUUUGGGACAGUGGAGAGGGUUUAUUUUAGCACAGCAGACAAUAUGAAAGAGAGUAUCAGAACCACGUACCUGCUAUGACCCAACUUUUAUAGAAAAAGAACAAGAAUAGAUAUGUUUGUGUUUGUGUAAAAGCAGAAGAACACACCCCAGACCAGACUGUGGGAAGCUGGGGAACUUUCACUUCUACUUAUUCCCCUUUCUGUGUUUGAAAGUUGUUUUUUGGGCCAGGCGUGGUGGCUCACACCUGUAAUCCCAGCACUUUGGGAGGCUGAGGCGGGCAGAUAACUUGAGGUCAGGAGUUUGAGACCAGCCUGGCCAACAUGGCGAAACCCCAUGUUUCUACUAAAAAUACAAAAAUUAUCUGGGCAUGGUGGUGUGUGCCUGUAAUCCCAGCUACUAGGGAGGCUGAGGCAAGAGAAUCGCUUGAAACCAGGAGAUGGGGGUUGCAGUGAGCCAAGAUCACGCCAUUGCACUCCAGCCUGGGCGACAGUGAGACUUUGUCUUAAAAAAAAAAAAAAAAGAAAGAAAAAGAAAAAAGUUAUUUCUUUUUAGUUGAGCGUGUGCUACACUAAACAAUGUUACAAUACAUUUUUAAAUUGAAUGUAUUUUUUUUUUUGAGACAGGGUCUUGCUUUGUCGCCCAGGCUGGAGUGUAGUGGCAUGAUCAUAGCUCACUGCAGCCUCAACUUCCUGGGCUCAAGUGAUCCUCCUGCCUCAGCUCCCCGAGCAGCUAGGACUACAGGCAUGUGCCACUACGCCUGGCUAAUUUUUUCAUUUUUAUUUUUUGUAGAGAUGGGGUCUUGCUGUGUUGCCCAGGUUGGUCUUGAACUCUUGGCCUCAAGCAAUCCUCCUCCAGAGCCUCGCAAAGUGUUGGGAUUACAGGCAUGAGCCACUGUGCCUGGCCAGAAAUUGUUUUGAAAGGCUAACCAGUAAAACAUUAACCAAUUUACAAGAGAAAAACAGCCCCAUCAAAAAGUGGGCAAAAGAUACGAACAGACACUUCUCAAAAGAAGACAUUUAUGCGGCCAAAAAACAUAUGAAAAAAAGCUCAUCAUCACUGGUCAUUAGAGAAAUACAAAUCAAAACCACAAUGAGAUACCAUCUCAUGCCAGUUAGAAUGGCAAUCAUUAAAAAGUCAGGAAACAACAUACGCUGGCGAGGCUGUGGAGAAAUAGGAACGCUUUUACACUGUUGGUGGGAGUGUAAAUUAGUGCAACCACUGUGGAAGACAGUGUGGCGAUUCCUCAAGGAUCUAGAAUCAGAAAUACCAUUUGACCUAGCAAUCCCAUUACUGUGUAUAUACCCAAAGGAUUAUACAUCAUUCUGCUAUAAAGACACAUGCACGUGUAUGUUUAUUGCAGCACUAUUCACAAUAGCAAAGACUUGGAACCGACCCAAAUGCUCAUCAAUGAUAGACUGGAUAAAGAAAAUGUGGCACAUAUACACCAUGGAAUACUAUAAAGUUAUAAAAAAAGAUGAGUUCAUGUCCUUUGCAGGGACAUGGAUGAAGCUGGAAACCAUUGUUAUCAGCAGACUAACACAGGAACAGAAAACCAAACACCACAUAUUCUCACUUAUAAGUGGGAAUUGAACAAUGAGAACACAUGGACACAGGGAGGGGAACAUCACACAACGGGGCCUGUUGGGGGGUAGGGGACUAGAGGAGGAAUAGCAUUAGCAGAAAUACCUAAUGUAGAUGACAGGUCGAUGGAUGCAGCAAACCACCAUGGCACGUGUAUACCUAUGUAACCUGCACGUUCUGCACAUGUAUCCCAGAACUUAAAGUAUAAUUUUAAAAAAAGGGAAAAAAAGUAAAAAAAAAAAUCAACAAAUCAGCAAACUACACAGAAGAACAUUAGAACAAUUUCUCUCAAAUUUCUCUUCCAUUGAGCUUCCUGCCUGACCCUAGAGCUCCCUCACCUCUUUGGCUUACCAGCUCCCAUCCUUCAAAGUUUCUGAGUUAUUCUGUGGGGAAUUUGAGCUACUGUCUUCCUUUAGGUCCAGGCCAUCUCAGCUAGGUCCAGAGAGCCUCACUCACCUCCCCAACUAAGCAAGCAUCCCUGGAGGUAUGUUCUUCAUGCAAGGGCAGUUCCUGAGAGAAUUUAUUUGGUUAGCUCAUAAAGGGAUUAUAUUGUUUUCCCCUGCACAUGAGAGAGAGUAGCUGAAGUCUACUGACUUUAAUGAAAUUCUCUGUGAAGAGUCUGGGAGGGACGGUUUAGGUAAUCCAUCUACAAGGGUGCUCAGAGAGUUUGGAGCGAAGCGAUUGGUGUCGUUAUGAUGGCAUUCUAUGGCACAGUAGUUACAGUGCACCAGCCACUCUUUUAAAGACUUCUCAAGUGUUCAUUCAUUUAAUUCUUACCACAACCCUGUGAGGGACUUCCUGUUAUUGUCUCCGUUUUACUGGUGAGGAAGCUGAAGCAGAGAAGUUAACUACUUUGCCCAAGUUCCUUUCCUCCUUUGAGGAUAAGGAGCCAAAGGUCCAGGAAUGCCCAAAUCACAUCCCUCUUCUUGUCCAACCACCCAACCCCUCCACAGGCAACCUGAUCAGCCACCUUUAUACAAAGUACAGUAUUCAGAUUGGAAUAAAAAUAUAUCUCCUUGACUCCCUGCUCUGAGAGGUAUUUCUUCUCAGACUCCCAAAAGCUGGAUUGAGGAACAUGGCUUAGUUGGUACAGUAUAGCCAAAUGUCCUGCUUGUUGAAACUGAAUUUGUAAUUAUCUUCUUUUUCCUCAAGAAGUCAUUGAGGGCUGUUGUAUCCCUAUAAAAGGAGAAUUUAGAGUAGCCAAAUAAAAGGGGGCUGAAGUAGUCUCAUUACAGAAAAAGAGAGUGUGAGCAGCCUUUUAGUAGUUGAUUGCCUCAAGAUGUGGUAUUCAGCCAGGGUGAAGGGAAAGUAGUUGGGGCUGUGGAUCUGGAGGUUUACAGAAGCCUUUACCCAUCCUGAGACUCAGUUCUGCUGUUGGUCUUCAGAGAAGUGUCUGCACCUGCUGAGAAGAAAUCACACCACUGCACUCUAGCCUGGGCAACAGAGUGAGACUCUGUCUCAAAAAAAAAAACAAAAAAAAAACAAAAAAAAAGAAA
This is an RNA transcript of Gorilla gorilla gorilla (western lowland gorilla), 9079 nucleotides long. RefSeq lists it as uncharacterized. The record is from RefSeq and is a predicted model, not a curated record. The transcript is spliced from 2 exons. NCBI's taxonomy places the organism in Eukaryota, Metazoa, Chordata, Mammalia, Primates, Hominidae.